RNAcentral lists this transfer RNA (77 nucleotides) under compost metagenome. RNAcentral describes it as "tRNA-Met". It matches the Rfam family "tRNA". From Rfam's summary of the family: Transfer RNA (tRNA) molecules are approximately 80 nucleotides in length. Their secondary structure includes four short double-helical elements and three loops (D, anti-codon, and T loops). The record is from RNAcentral.
GGGCCCGUAGCUUAAGUGGUAAAAGCAGCCGACUCAUAAUCGGUCGACAGUCGGUUCGAGUCCGACCGGGCCUACCA